This 844-nucleotide ribosomal RNA is filed under the name Bacillus subtilis. RNAcentral describes it as "bacterial SSU rRNA". It matches the Rfam family "Bacterial small subunit ribosomal RNA". The record is from RNAcentral. Lineage: Bacteria; Bacillati; Bacillota; Bacilli; Caryophanales; Bacillaceae.
GCCGCACGACGACACGGUCUACGCUCAUGUGAUUUCGCUAAACACGAGUCACUGGUACUUGACCCUAGUCCCAAGGCAUGACUUCAAUGUACCUGAGUCGUAGCAUUGUUGAACCAGUGCGACGCGCUCUCGUCCCGUACUGACCUAGGCCGAAGCUGCGUAGCACAGAUUAGAUACCCUGUAGUCCAGCCUAACGAUGAGUGCUAAUGUAGAGGUUUCCGCCUUAGUGCUCCAGCUAAACGCAUUAAGCACUCGCCUGGAGUACGUCGCAAGGCUGAAACUCAAAGAAUUGACGGGGCCCCGCCAGCGGUGGAGCAUGUAGUUUAAUUCGAGCAACGCGGAAGAACCUUACCAGGCCUGACAUCCUUUGACAACCCAGAGAUAAGAGCUUUCCUUCGGGGGCAAAGUACAGGUGGUGCAAUGUUGUCGUCAGCUCGUGUCGUGAGAUGUUGGGUUAAGUCCCGCAACGAGCGCAACCCUUGAUCUUUAGUUGCCAGCAUUUAGUUGGGCACUCUAAGGUGACUGCCGGUGACAAACCGGAGGAAGGUGGGGAUGACGUCAAAUCAUCAUGCCCCUUAUGACCUGGGCUACACACGUGCUACAAUGGGAAGAACAACGAGCAGCGAAACCGCGAGGUUAAGCCAAUCUCUCAAAUCUUUUCUCAGUUCGGAUUGCAGUCUGCAACUCGCCUGCAUGAAGCCGGAAUCGCUAGUAAUCGCGGAUCAGCACGCCGCGGUGAAUACGUUCCCGGGCCUUGUACACACCGCCCGUCACACCACGAGAGUUUGUAACACCCGAAGUCGGUGAGUAACUUUUAUGAGCCAGCCGUAUAAAGUGACCCCAU